Non-coding RNA from Marmota flaviventris (yellow-bellied marmot), 2183 nucleotides. The record is from RefSeq and is a predicted model, not a curated record. Lineage: Eukaryota; Metazoa; Chordata; Mammalia; Rodentia; Sciuridae.
UCCACCACGCCCAUUGGUAGUGCCAUUUUAGAUUCACACGGUCCUCAGGUGAAAUAAGGCCAUCUGCCUGGAGCACGGAGGACACCCCCACCAGCCGCCGCCGUGUCCACCCAGCCUCACAUGUCGCCAGGGCCCUUAGAGCCCUCAACAUCCUGGCCUGUCCGGCUUCUCUUGAAAAAGCCCUCCAUGGUUUCCCCCGACACUGAGGCUCCGGCCUGAUCCUCCAGGUCACAGCCGGGAAGCCCACCCAGCAUCAGCACACACAGGUGUGUCACAGGAGUUCCAGCCGGGCCCGCACGGCCGCUCUCCUGGCACGGAAGGUGACUAGGUGGCUGUGCCGGGACGCCCAGGUCUGGGUUCUCUCUCAUCAUCCUCCCCAUUUCUCCUUCGCCACAGCUUCGCCUUUGGGGACGUGGGUGGCUGGGUCCCCUGAGGAGACAGGCCUCCCUUUCCUGAGAAGACCAUCGUUGGACGUGUCAGGCCGUGACAUGCACCAUGGGGCGUGGCAUCUGUCCUGGAUUAACAACCAUUUCACCUUGCCACAGUGCCGGACGCUGUCCUUCCUUCCCAGUCCUGCAUCUGGCGUUUGCAGCCUGCUACCUGUGGAACAGGUGGGCCUCCACGGCCCCCACUCCACCUGAUGGAGCACAAAGGCUGUGUCUGCCCGGGCCUGGUACUUGUUCAGCAUGUAGGCGUUGCUCAGUACUGAGGGGCCGCGUUGCCCCAUCGUGGCCACACUGGAGAUUCAGCUACGUGAUUCUGCACUGUCUGCACUCCAAGGCUGCCUGGGCUCCAGACCUCGCAUCAACAGUCCUGGUUCUGCUUUAAAGACUCUGCUGAGAUUCAGAUCCGUGACCCUCGUAUUACACAGCAUGCCCUCCCCCCCCGACCCGCCAAGGGUAGAUGAUGUUGGUGGAGGAGGGAGGAGAAAGUAUACACAGAGCAUUACACAAAUACUACAAGGCCUAAAACUGCACUGAAAUCCAAAAAAAAAAAAGAAUCAUUUCCAGGUAGAUCAGGAAAUGGUAAAGAUAUUGAGCAACAAAGACUGGGAGCUCAGCAACAAGUCCACAUUUCUAUUCUAGUUUGACCUUCCUGUUUUAGGCAAAUGGCUUUAUGAAUAAGAGGUUGAGUCACAGCUGGUAUUUCUGCAAGGUUCUCAGGGUGACAAGGGACGGUCCACAGAAGCAGAAAGAAUUUGAAGUUUCUCCCUUUAUUGGAACUAAAGAGAUAAUUCUCAUAGGUGGGGACUUUGCCUGGCCUGGGACAGAAAUCCACACCUUUGGAUCUGACAUGUCCUCCAUCCUCCCCCCCCACCCCCAAAUAAAACCAGCCCCCAUCUGAAGUGACCUGGCCAGUCAGUUUCUCGGGGGGGACCUGGGCUCCGAGCUAGUGGUGCAGAUGUCACCUUGAGGACCUUGAUACACAGAUGCUGUCUGCUUCAGGUCAGACUUGAUGCUCUGCCUCUUUCCAAGUGCUGUCAUUUGUGUCAUGGAUCUCAAAUGCUGUCAUUGGUGUCUUGGAUGUCCCCAAAAGACCCAUGUGUUAAACAUUUGGUCCCUAGGUCGUGUGCCUGGGCAGUGGGAGGUGGGACCUGGUGGGGAAGUUGGAUUACUGGGGGCAUGCCCUGAAGGGGAUAUUCCAACCCGGCCCCUCCCGUCUCUCUUGCUCCCUGGCUGCCAUGAGGUGAGUAAUGUCCUGGGUCGUGUGCGCCCACCAUGAUGUUCUGCCUUACCACAGGCCCCUAGUGAGGCUGAGCUGCCAUAGACUGACAUUGUGAGCCAAAGUCCACCUUCCUACUUUACGUCGACUGUCUCAGGUAUGUGUCACAGUGACAGAAAGCUGACUCCACCACGGUGGGAUUGCUGCAGCUCCAACAGGUGGUCGAUGUGAAGUGCACUGUGAACAUUCACGUAGGACCCGUUCCCGUGCGUGCAGAGCCCUGGGCGCAGCUUCCGUUGUUUUUUACAGAGGAGCGAGUGGAGGCCUAAAGUCCCUGAAGCCAUGAGAAAGGAAUGCAGCCCGUGGUGCUUAAAAGUCAUAGAAAAAAUGUCACAGCCAUAUAUGAGCUUCAUUUGCUGUGGUUGAAGAAAGGAUUUGCGGUGGGAGAGGAGCUGGUGGGCAUUUUCGUGUUACUUUUUAGUUGUAAAAUACAUAUAAUAAAAUUUGCCAUCUUAAUCAUU